CUGACAUAACUUGAUCAGAAAUCUAAAAAUAGGAGACAAAGAUUGAGCCAUCAAAAGAAAGUAGUGCUGUGUCUUAAGGGUCGCAAGUCAUUAGUCAUUUUUUACUCUCAAUGUAAUAGCGCCAAUGUGGUCCAGUGGUAAGCACAUUGCAUAUCAAUGUCACAGACCUGUGAUCGAAUCUCCCAUGAAAAAUCAGGGUUUUUUUUCGAUUUUAUUGUUAAGACAUAAAAUACUGUUAGGGCUGUUGAACAUUUGAAUUUCUAAAGCAGCAGUUUUCUUGAAAAAGACGUGAUAGUGCCAUUAGUAACUGAAUUGGAAUCAGUCGUGAACUGAGGUGGGCCGGUCUGGCUUGAAACUCCAGGGCUGAAAAUGAGUACCACUCCGGCCCUGGCCUACAGAGACUUUAAUAGACACCAAUAAAUAAAAUAUAGUAAAAUGAGAUUAAAAUGAUGUUAAUGCAUCGAAUUAAAGUAUAAAAACACACUGGAAACCACUGAUAUAAUCAUGGCUCAAGUGUUGCAAGCUUUUUUUCUACUUCUUGAUUGUUUUUUAUAUGUGUGAAUGUGCAUUUUUGCUUGCUGAAGGCGAUGAUUAAUAUCUGUAUCAUUAAAAUAUCCUUUAUUUUAUGUUAGAUGAUUAUUUUUGGAUGUUUAUAUGGUUUAAUAUUUGAUUCACUGCAAAAAAAAUCUAAAUAAAAAGGUCUGAAAACUAUUUAGUAUGAUGUCUAAGAGAGCUCAAAUUAUGAAACACCUGCAAAUAGAAAGCAACUGAAAUGUCAAGUUUAGCACACAUCUUCAUCAUUACUUAUUAACAGAACACACAUCUGAUGUGAUUUGAGAACAGUUUAAACACACUUCUCAGUAAAACCACUGAGAUUAAACCAGCGGAUAAAGCAGCAGCAGAUAACAGAGCAGGAGACACAGGAGCAGAGCAGAACUCAGUCAUCAUUGGGGACGUUGUUCUGCCGUGAACACAGCGCUGUAGAAAUCUCCUGAAUAUAUCAAGAUGGACAACACAGAGACAUACUGGCAAAUGGAUUACCCACUUAGAUGGAAGUUGAUACCUGAAGAGCUGGAUUUUAAGAUCAGAUCCUUCAUCUUCAGCAUCAUUGGUGCGUCUGCAGGUCUACCAGCUCUUGUUUGGUCUGUCGGUGAACUGAUUGAGCACAGAAGGAAUGGACACCAUAUUUCAGCCUUCAUCAUCCUCCUCCUCCUCACUGACUUUACUGAGCUUUACUUGAGUCCCUACAUACUGAUCAAAGAUCUCUUAAAUGAGCUCUAUAUGUCUACAGAUUUGACAAGUCUGGUUUUUCAGUCUUUAUGGUGGUCUUCAACAGACUGUGGUCUCCUCUUGAAUCAGCUGGUGGCGCUAGAGGGGAUUCUCUCAGUCAGAUAUCCGCUGUACACUGCUGCUGUUUUCUCCUCACGCUGCUUCAGACUCUUCUUCAUGCUUGCUUUCCUCUGUAUCACUAUCUGUCGGGUUUAUUUUCAAACUGACAUCACUGUGUUGUCUUGUAUUAUUGCAUUCCUCGUGUUGGUUGUAGUACAUCGGAUAAUUCUGGUAAUAUACUGUAGACCUUCCUGCUCUGCUGAUCCUCACUCUCACACGUCCAGGAAACAUGACCCUCACAUUUUGGUUAUUUUCAUAUUCAAUCUGCUGGUGUUUUAUCCGCCUAUUGUACUUAGAUUAUUGCAUCUUGAUAGACAUAAUCUUUUUCAUAGUCCUUUGUUUGUGAGGUUGAGGCUGAUCUCAGACCCUCUCCUGUGUGUGCUGGUCUGCAGGCAGAAUCUCAGAGUUGAAACACCGCAAAACCCAGAAGAAACCAGAGUAGAUCCAAGAUGAUCUGGUGUGACAGCAACACUCAGUCCAAUGAAAUGUUAAAAAACUAUGAUUUUCUGAUUAAUAUUACACACAUGAAACUGUUUUGUUGUUUCACAGACAUUUAAAUCUGUAUAUAUACACUAUUAUUUAUAUCUGUCUGUGUAUUAUGUGAUCAUAAUAAAGUGAGUAUUACAUUCC
This is a non-coding RNA of Danio rerio (zebrafish), 2019 nucleotides long. Lineage: Eukaryota; Metazoa; Chordata; Actinopteri; Cypriniformes; Danionidae. The record is from RefSeq and is a predicted model, not a curated record.